This is a non-coding RNA of Ictidomys tridecemlineatus (thirteen-lined ground squirrel), 73 nucleotides long. The record is from Rfam. Lineage: Eukaryota; Metazoa; Chordata; Mammalia; Rodentia; Sciuridae.
GGAGAUAUAGCUCAGUCAGUAGAGUACUUGCCUCAUAUGCACAAGGCUCUGGGUUCAAUUCCCAGCACCACCC